Molecule: ribosomal RNA, 253 nt
Filed under: uncultured bacterium
Lineage: Bacteria
Description: partial 16S ribosomal RNA
Rfam family: Bacterial small subunit ribosomal RNA
Source: RNAcentral
UACGUAGGGGGCUAGCGUUGUCCGGAAUCAUUGGGCGUAAAGAGCGUGUAGGCGGUCCGGUAAGUCCGCUGUGAAAGUCGGGGGCUCAACCCUCGAAUGCCGGUGGAUACUGUGGGGCUAGAGUACGGAAGAGGCGAGUGGAAUUCCUGGUGUAGCGGUGGAAUGCGCAGAUAUCAGGAGGAACACCAAUAGCGAAGGCAGCUCGCUGGGACGUUACUGACACUGAGGCGCGAAAGCGUGGGGAGCGAACAGG